RNAcentral lists this long non-coding RNA (1244 nucleotides) under Ursus maritimus (polar bear). RNAcentral's name for it is "lncRNA (ENSUMAG00000009026.1)". Lineage: Eukaryota; Metazoa; Chordata; Mammalia; Carnivora; Ursidae. The record is from RNAcentral.
UUUAAAAGCCUGAGUUGUGUGUUAAAAUGUCAUUCAAUGAUACUUUGGCUCUGAAAGAAGUAUUUGACUUUUAAGCAGUAUUCUGUAGCAAAUUCAGAUUUUUGAAACUUCAGCUUUAUAGCAAAGACAGCUUGUGAACAUUACUGUUCACUUUUGAGUUCAUAUUCCCCUAGGGAGGUAAAUAGAUAAUAUUCAGAGGUGAAUAAAGGUGCUAUAGACAUUCACAUACAGGUCUUCCUAUGGGCAUAUGUUUUCAUUUACCUUCAGCAAACAUCUAGGAGUGAGAGUGUUGAGUCUUAGAGUAAAUAGAUAUUUAACUUUAUAGGAAGCUGCCUGACGAUUUUCAAUGNNNNNNNNNNNNNNNNNNNNNNNNNNNNNNNNNNNNNNNNNNNNNNNNNNNNNNNNNNNCCCCCCCCCAUUUGGGAUGUUGUCUUUUCAUUGUAUCCAUUCUGGGAGGUGACUUGUUACUCUAAUUUGCAUUUCUUGAGUGACUCUCAGUGUUGAAAAACUUUUCAUAUGCUUAUUAGUCAUCCAUAUAUUUUCUCUAGUGAAGUAUUUCUUUACACUUCUUGCCAUUUCUUAGUGGGAUUUUUAUCUUUUCUCUCAGUGUUGAAAAACUUUUCAUAUGCUUAUUAGUCAUCCAUAUAUUUUCUCUAGUGAAGUAUUUCUUUACACUUCUUGCCAUUUCUUAGGGUUUUUUUUUUUUUUUUUUUUUUUUUUUUUUUUGAGUUGUAAGAGUAUUUUAUAUCAUCUGGAUACAUGCCCUAUACCAGGUUUAUUCCAAUUCUUUUCUCCAACCCUGUGGCUUGUCUUCAAAGGCUCAGCUUUUCUUUCUGUAUAAAAAAUUACGAACUGUGUUCCACAGAGCAUCAGAAUUCUGCAGAACCACCUGGAACUGCUGCGGUUUGCCUGACUAAGUCGCUUGAAAGAAUAAUCUGUUCAGAGCUCUUCAAGAGAAGAGGGUUGUGGAUUUUUAAAAAUUAUUUUGGUUGCUUCAUAACAAAAUAUCGAAAUACCAAGUUUCUGAUCUUCACCAAAUGAUCCUUUUACUUACCCGAAGGAAAAAAAUUGGAAGUACUUGGAUCAGCUUCUUUUCUUGAACCUUCUAUUUCAAAUCUGAUGGUAAGUUCAAAGGCAAGCAAUUGUUUUUCGGAUUUUGACAUUGAUUUGUAUAGAAUCAACUUCCAAACCUUCAAGAGCAACUCUUGUACAUUAACUUUGACUCUUUGCUCCCUGUAAUUGAU